CUGCUCAUCCACUCUACACCUGUGCACUUACUGUAGGUUGGCGUGGGUUUCUGGCCUCCGGGUCAGAAGCAUUCUGCCGACCUAUGUACACUACAAACUCUUAAAGUAUCAGAAUGUAAACGCGUCUAACGCAUCUUAAUACAACUUUCAGCAACGGAUCUCUUGGCUCUCGCAUCGAUGAAGAACGCAGCGAAAUGCGAUAAGUAAUGUGAAUUGCAGAAUUCAGUGAAUCAUCGAAUCUUUGAACGCACCUUGCGCUCCUUGGUAUUCCGAGGAGCAUGCCUGUUUGAGUGUCAUGAAAUUCUCAACCCAUAAAUCCUUGUGAUCUAUGGGCUUGGAUUUGGAGGCUUGCUGGCCGUAACGGUCGGCUCCUCUUGAAUGCAUUAGCUUGAUUCCGUGCGGAUCGGCUCUCAGUGUGAUAAUUGUCUACGCUGUGACCGUGAAGCGUUUUGGCGAGCUUCUAACCGUCCCUGCGAGUGAAGCGGGAAAAGCUCAAAUUUAAAAUCUGGCGGUCUUUGGCCGUCCGAGUUGUAGUCUGGAGAAGCGUCUUCCGCGCUGGACCGUGUACAAGUCUCUUGGAACAGAGCGUCAUAGAGGGUGAGAAUCCCGUCUUUGACACGGACUACCAGUGCUUUGUGAUGCGCUCUCAAAGAGUCGCGUUGUUUGGGAAUGCAGCGCAAAAUGGGAGGUGAAUUCCUUCUAAAGCUAAAUAUUGGCGAGAGACCGAUAGCGAACAAGUACCGUGAGGGAAAGAUGAAAAGCACUUUGGAAAGAGAGUUAAACAGUACGUGAAAUUGCUGAAAGGGAAACGCUUGAAGUCAGUCGCGUCGUCCGGAACUCAGCCUUGCUUCGGCUUGGUGCAUUUUCCGGUUGACGGGCCAGCAUCGAUUUUGACCGCUGGAAAAGGGCUGGAGGAAUGUGGCACCUUCGGGUGUGUUAUAGCCUUCAGUCGCAUACAGCGGUUGGGAUCGAGGAACGCAGCGCGCCUUAUGGCUGGGGUUCGCCCACAUUCGCGCUUAGGAUGCUGGCAUAAUGGCUUUAAACGACCCGUCUUGAAACACGGACCAAGGAGUCUAACAUGCCUGCGAGUGUUUGGGUGGAAAACCCGAGCGCGUAAUGAAAGUGAAAGUUGAGACCUCUGUCGUGNAGGGCAUCGACGCCCGGACCUGAAGUUUUCUGACGGAUCCGCGGUAGAGCAUG
This 1200-nucleotide small RNA is filed under the name Polyporales sp. 11 MU-2012. Its description in RNAcentral is "eukaryotic LSU rRNA". The stretch from base 384 to 1200 matches the Rfam family "Eukaryotic large subunit ribosomal RNA", at positions 1 to 804 of the family's 3401-position model. The record is from RNAcentral. Lineage: Eukaryota; Fungi; Basidiomycota; Agaricomycetes; Polyporales.